Molecule: non-coding RNA, 492 nt
Organism: Paramuricea clavata
Lineage: Eukaryota; Metazoa; Cnidaria; Anthozoa; Malacalcyonacea; Plexauridae
Source: the annotation of a GenBank genome assembly
GUUGCAUGAGCUGUCACGGAGAUUAUGAUUUAAUAUUUCAUUUUUGAAAAUGAAUAAGUCUUUGAGGCAAUUUGGCCUUAUAUUAUGAAGUAUCUUAAACAUUGUUUUCGCUUUAGUUUACGGAAAGUUUUUUUGUUGUCAGGUUCGGCGGUUAGUCGUUGAACAACUAGUUCCUGGCCGUUAUUGCGUUCGUUAUGAUUUAUUGUUCUUUUGGCCGUCACUUUGGCAUUUAAUUAUUUCCAAAUCUGGUUCAUCUUCGCCAUUUUGUCGUAAAUCGCAUGUGGAAUCUUCGAACGAAAACAAGUGUCUCCACAAUUUCAAUUGAAAAUUACCAUUAAAGUUCGCAAGGCAUGUUGGUCUAUGAUAACGAUGGGCCACGUCGAGAACAUUUGAUUUCAGAAUUAAAAAUCAAAUUGCAUGUUAGUUGUUUUUGUUUUUUUUAAUUUGCUUUUUUUAUUUUUUUUACAUAUAUUUUUAUAUCUAUGUUUUAAU